Phyllostomus discolor (pale spear-nosed bat) is the source of this 183-nucleotide small nuclear RNA. RefSeq annotates it as U2 spliceosomal RNA. Lineage: Eukaryota; Metazoa; Chordata; Mammalia; Chiroptera; Phyllostomidae. The record is from RefSeq and is a predicted model, not a curated record. The transcript has a single exon.
AUCACUUCUCGGCCUUCUAGCUAAGAUCAAGUGUAGCAUAUCUGUUCUUAUCAGUUUAAUAUCUCCUAUACCCUCUAUCCAAGGACAACAUAUAAAAUGGAUUUUUUUGGCCCUGGCUGGGUGGCUCAGUUGGUUGGAGAGUCAUCCCAUAAACCAAAUGUUUAGGGGUUUGAUUCCAGGUCA